CCUGGAUUUCCUUUAAAGAUAUAAGAAAUACUGGGGAGGGGACAAGAUGGACAACUAGAAAUAGCUGCAAUCAGAGGCUUCCAACAAGAAGAACGAAAACGAAUGAAGCCCUUUCUUAAAAGCCUAGUUGACUAGGGAUAUCAAGUGGACACAGCUGACAGAACUUUGUACUAGAAAGGAGGGAGGAUACAGAAUGUCUCUUCAGUGAAAAUGACUAUUUUGACAACUUGGAAGAUAAGGAGCUAGGCUAAGUCUUAUUCUAGUCUAUCCUGUCUGUCACCAGGAAGAUUUCCUACCUUCCCAAAGGUUAG
This 311-nucleotide long non-coding RNA is filed under the name Pan troglodytes (chimpanzee). RNAcentral's name for it is "long non-coding RNA NONPTRT014610". The record is from RNAcentral. Lineage: Eukaryota; Metazoa; Chordata; Mammalia; Primates; Hominidae.